RNAcentral lists this ribosomal RNA (1002 nucleotides) under Bacillus subtilis. RNAcentral describes it as "bacterial SSU rRNA". It matches the Rfam family "Bacterial small subunit ribosomal RNA", at positions 35 to 1025 of the family's 1533-position model. Lineage: Bacteria; Bacillati; Bacillota; Bacilli; Caryophanales; Bacillaceae. The record is from RNAcentral.
GGGGGGGGGGGGCCUAUACAUGCAAGUCGAGCGGACAGAUGGGAGCUUGCUCCCUGAUGUUAGCGGCGGACGGGUGAGUAACACGUGGGUAACCUGCCUGUAAGACUGGGAUAACUCCGGGAAACCGGGCUAAUACCGGAUGCUUGUUUGAACCGCAUGGUUCAAACAUAAAAGGUGGCUUCGGCUACCACUUACAGAUGGACCCGCGGCGCAUUAGCUAGUUGGUGAGGUAAUGGCUCACCAAGGCGACGAUGGUAGCCGACCUGAGAGGGUGAUCGGCCACACUGGGACUGAGACACGGCCCAGACUCCUACGGGAGGCAGCAGUAGGGAAUCUUCCGCAAUGGACGAAAGUCUGACGGAGCAACGCCGCGUGAGUGAUAAGGUUUUCGGAUCGUAAAGCUCUGUUGUUAGGGAAGAACAAGUACCGUUCGAAUAGGGCGGUACCUUGACGGUACCUAACCAGAAAGCCACGGCUAACUACGUGCCAGCAGCCGCGGUAAUACGUAGUGGCAAGCGUUGUCCGGAAUUAUUGGGCGUAAAGGGCUCGCAGGCGGUUUCUUAAGUCUGAUGUGAAAGCCCCCGGCUCAACCGGGGAGGGUCAUUGGAAACUGGGGAACUUGAGUGCAGAAGAGGGAGUGGAAUUCCACGUGUAGCGGUGAAAUGCGUAGAGAUGUGGAGGAACACCAGUGGCGAAGGCGACUCUCUGGUCUGUAACUGACGCUGAGGAGCGAAAGCGUGGGGAGCGAACAGGAUUAGAUACCUGGUAGUCCACGCCGUAAACGAUGAGUGCUAAGUGUUAGGGGGUUUCCGCCCCUUAGUGCUGCAGCUAACGCAUUAAGCACUCCGCCUGGGGAGUACGGUCGCAAGACUGAAACUCAAAGGAAUUGCGGGGGCCCGCACAAGCGGUGGAGCAUGUGGUUUAAUUCGAAGCAACGCGAAAGAACCUUACCAGGUCUUGACAUCCUCUGACAAUCCUAGAGAUAGGACGUCCCCUUCGGGG